CCAUCUCGUAAGGACUAAAUACUACUGUGUGACCGAUAGUGAACCAGUACCGCGAGGGAAAGGUGAAAGAACCCCGGAAGGGAGUGAAGAGACAAGUGAACCGAUCGGGACAGUACAUCCGCGAGCUGCCCUUGUGGUAGGGUGACGGCGUGCCUUUUUGAAGAAGUGAGCCUGCGAGUUAGUGGUGUAGUGGCGAGGUUAACCCGUGUGGGGAAANCCGUAGCGAAAGCAGUCCGAAUAGGGCGUUGUCGAGCGGCCGNGAAUU
RNAcentral lists this unclassified non-coding RNA (265 nucleotides) under uncultured Chroococcidiopsis sp. RNAcentral's name for it is "partial contains 16S ribosomal RNA, 16S-23S ribosomal RNA intergenic spacer, and 23S ribosomal RNA". It matches the Rfam family "Bacterial large subunit ribosomal RNA", at positions 453 to 716 of the family's 2925-position model. The record is from RNAcentral. Lineage: Bacteria; Bacillati; Cyanobacteriota; Cyanophyceae; Chroococcidiopsidales; Chroococcidiopsidaceae.